UCACGGGUGGGGCCCCUCAUGCGGCUUUGUCCCCCUCUACGUUAGUAUUUUACAGCAGUGGGGCAUAUUACGUAUCUCCUUCUAUACAUUCCGCAGUUACAUAUUUCUUCACUUCAUAAAUCUAUGUAAUGUGCACGAAACUCGCGCGAGAUCCACACUGGACUCGCAUGAAUAGUGUCUUGGUUUCCUUGAC
Long non-coding RNA from Apis dorsata (giant honeybee), 193 nucleotides. RefSeq lists it as uncharacterized. The record is from RefSeq and is a predicted model, not a curated record. NCBI's taxonomy places the organism in Eukaryota, Metazoa, Arthropoda, Insecta, Hymenoptera, Apidae. The transcript has 2 exons.